This 492-nucleotide ribosomal RNA is filed under the name uncultured bacterium. RNAcentral's name for it is "partial 16S ribosomal RNA". It matches the Rfam family "Bacterial small subunit ribosomal RNA", at positions 29 to 507 of the family's 1533-position model. The record is from RNAcentral.
AGUGAACGCUGGCGGUAGGCCUAACACAUGCCAGUCGAACGGCAGCACAGUAAGAGCUUGCUCUUACGGGUGGCGAGUGGCGGACGGGUGAGGAAUACAUCGGAAUCUACUUUUUCGUGGGGGAUAACGUAGGGAAACUUACGCUAAUACCGCAUACGACCUACGGGUGAAAGCAGGGGAUCUUCGGACCUUGCGCGAUUGAAUGAGCCGAUGUCGGAUUAGCUAGUUGGCGGGGUAAAGGCCCACCAAGGCGACGAUCCGUAGCUGGUCUGAGAGGAUGAUAGGCCACCUGGGAACUGAGACACGGUCCAGCCUCCUACGGGAGGCAGCAGGGGGGAAUAUUGGACAAGGGGCGCAAGCCUGACCCAGCCAUCCCGCGUGGGUGAAGAAGGCCUUCGGGUUGUAAAGCCUUUUUGUGGGGAAAAAAAAGCAGCAGGUUAAUACCCCGCUGUUCUGACGGUACCAAAAGAAUAAGCCCCGGCUAACUUCGUG